Molecule: small RNA, 119 nt
Filed under: Pseudomonas entomophila
Lineage: Bacteria; Pseudomonadati; Pseudomonadota; Gammaproteobacteria; Pseudomonadales; Pseudomonadaceae
Description: Manganese sequence
Rfam family: Manganese Mn2+ riboswitch aptamer (yybP-ykoY)
About the family: This RNA was originally discovered in E. coli during a large scale screen and was named SraF. The family was later found to exist upstream of related families of protein genes in many bacteria, including the the yybP and ykoK genes in B. subtilis.
Source: RNAcentral
CGCUCCGUCCUAGGGGAGUAGUCUCCCGCGAGCCCCCGCUCGCCCGGUACGCGUCAACACACUUGGCCCACAGGCCAUGGCGCGUGCGACCCACGAUCUGCGCAGACAGGUCCAGGGUU